UACGGAGGGUGCGAGCGUUAUCCGGAAUUACUGGGUUUAAAGGGUGCGUAGGCGGCUGAAUAAGUCAGUGGUGAAAGGUGGCAGCUUAACUGUCAAAUUGCCAUUGAAACUGUUUAGCUUGAAUGAGGAUGAGGUUUGCGGAAUGUGGCAUGUAGCGGUGAAAUGCAUAGAUAUGCCACGGAACACCGAAUGCGAAGGCAGCAGACUGGACCUUAAUUGACGCUGAGGCACGAAAGCGUGGGGAGCGAAC
This 250-nucleotide ribosomal RNA is filed under the name uncultured bacterium. RNAcentral's name for it is "partial 16S ribosomal RNA". It matches the Rfam family "Bacterial small subunit ribosomal RNA", at positions 524 to 773 of the family's 1533-position model. The record is from RNAcentral.